This 207-nucleotide ribosomal RNA is filed under the name uncultured bacterium. RNAcentral's name for it is "partial 16S ribosomal RNA". It matches the Rfam family "Bacterial small subunit ribosomal RNA", at positions 568 to 774 of the family's 1533-position model. The record is from RNAcentral.
CGCGUAGGCGGUCGAGCGCGUCGAGGGUGAAAUCCCCGGGCUUAACCCGGGAACUGCCUUCGAUACGGCCCGACUGGAGUGCGGGAGGGGAGAGUGGAACUCCUGGUGGAGCGGUGAAAUGCGUAGAUAUCAGGAGGAACGCCGGUGGCGAAAGCGACUCUCUGGUCCGCAACUGACGCUGAGGCGCGAAAGCCAGGGGAGCAAACG